Delphinapterus leucas (beluga whale) is the source of this 99-nucleotide non-coding RNA. The record is from RefSeq and is a predicted model, not a curated record. NCBI's taxonomy places the organism in Eukaryota, Metazoa, Chordata, Mammalia, Artiodactyla, Monodontidae.
AGAGAAUUGGCCCAGAGCAGCCCUAUCAGGCAGGAGCCUGCAUCUGUGACUCUCCUCAGCCGCUUAUCAGCUGUGUGACCUUGGGUCCCUGGCCUUUUC